RNAcentral lists this ribosomal RNA (246 nucleotides) under uncultured bacterium. RNAcentral's name for it is "partial 16S ribosomal RNA". It matches the Rfam family "Bacterial small subunit ribosomal RNA", at positions 523 to 769 of the family's 1533-position model. The record is from RNAcentral.
AUACGUAGGGAGCAAGCGUUGUCCGGAAUUACUGGGUGUAAAGGGAGAGUAGGCGGGUUUUCAAGUCCGUUGUGAAAUCUAUCGGCUUAACCGAUAGCUGCGGCGGAAACUGGAGAUCUUGAGUGAAGUAGAGGCAGGCGGAAUUCCUAGUGUAGCGGUGAAAUGCGUAGAUAUUAGGAGGAACACCAGUGGCGAAGGCGGCCUGCUGGGCUUUAACUGACGCUGAGGCUCGAAAGUGUGGGGAGC